RNAcentral lists this ribosomal RNA (253 nucleotides) under uncultured bacterium. RNAcentral's name for it is "partial 16S ribosomal RNA". It matches the Rfam family "Bacterial small subunit ribosomal RNA", at positions 524 to 776 of the family's 1533-position model. The record is from RNAcentral.
GACAGAGGGGGCAAGCGUUGUCCGGACUGACUGGGCGUAAAGCGCGCGCAGGCGGUCUCGGGCGUCGGUGCUGAAAGUCCACCGCUUAACGGUGGGAUGCGUGCCGAUACGCCGAGACUGGAGGGUGGGCGAGGGUGGUGGAAUUGCCGGUGUAGUGGUGAAAUACGCAGAUAUCAGGAGGAACACCGGUGGCGAAGGCGGGUCUCUGGGCAACAACUGACGCUGAGGAGCGAAAGCGUGGGGAGCGAACAGG